RNAcentral lists this ribosomal RNA (112 nucleotides) under Acanthosepion pharaonis. The record is from RNAcentral. Lineage: Eukaryota; Metazoa; Mollusca; Cephalopoda; Sepiida; Sepiidae.
AUGGCCACAUCAUGUUAAAACAUUGGUUCCUGUAUGAUCACCGAAGUUAAGCAAUGUUGAGCUUGGUUAGUACCUAGAUGAGUGACUGUUUGUGAAUACCAUGUGCUGUAAG